GUGUCAGCAGCCGCGGUAACACGUAGGGGGCAAGCGUUGUCCGGAUUUAUUGGGCGUAAAGAGCUCGUAGGUGGUUCGGUAAGUCGGGUGUGAAACCUCCAGGCUCAACCUGGAGACGCCACCCGAUACUGCUGUGACUGGAGUCCGGUAGGGGAGCGUGGAAUUCCUGGUGUAGCGGUGAAAUGCGCAGAUAUCAGGAGGAACACCAGCGGCGAAGGCGGCGCUCUGGGCCGGUACUGACACUGAGGAGCGAAAGCGUGGGUAGCAAACAGGAUUAGAUACCCUGGUAGUCC
This 293-nucleotide ribosomal RNA is filed under the name uncultured bacterium. RNAcentral's name for it is "partial 16S ribosomal RNA". It matches the Rfam family "Bacterial small subunit ribosomal RNA", at positions 505 to 796 of the family's 1533-position model. The record is from RNAcentral.